AACGAACGCUGGCGGCAUGCCUAACACAUGCAAGUCGAACGAGACCUUCGGGUCUAGUGGCGCACGGGUGCGUAACGCGUGGGAACCUGCCCUUGGGUUGGGAAUAACUCCCGGAAAGGGGUGCUAAAACGGGUAAAUUUUUUCGGACCAAAGAUUUUUCGCCUUUGGAUGGGCCGGCGUUGGAUUAGCUAGUUGGUAGGGUAAAAGCCUACCAAGGCGACGAUCCAUAGCUGGUCUGAGAGGAUGAUCAGCCACACUGGGACUGAGACACGGCCCAGACUCCUACGGGAGGCAGCAGUGGGGAAUAUUGGACAAUGGGCGAAAGCCUGAUCCAGCAAUGCCGCGUGAGUGAUGAAGGCCUUAGGGUUGUAAAGCUCUUUUACCCGGGAUGAUAAUGACAGUACCGGGAGAAUAAGCUCCGGCUAACUCCGUG
This 433-nucleotide ribosomal RNA is filed under the name uncultured bacterium. RNAcentral's name for it is "partial 16S ribosomal RNA". It matches the Rfam family "Bacterial small subunit ribosomal RNA", at positions 29 to 507 of the family's 1533-position model. The record is from RNAcentral.